This is a long non-coding RNA of Lepidothrix coronata (blue-crowned manakin), 394 nucleotides long. RefSeq lists it as uncharacterized. Lineage: Eukaryota; Metazoa; Chordata; Aves; Passeriformes; Pipridae. The transcript is spliced from 3 exons. The record is from RefSeq and is a predicted model, not a curated record.
AGGUCCAAAGAACGGAACUGAACCUGGAGACAUUUACUGGCAGUUGGAGGAAACGCUGACUGAGGUCCUGGGUGCCCUGAAGGAGAUACCUGAUGUUGUGGAGCUUGAGACUGUGGAGGUACCUCAGGAAGGCCAUCAGGAGGUGCCAUUCCCUGGGGAAAAGCCCGGGGCUGCUCAGCCAACAGGAGGGUCAGGUGUGGACAAGAGGAGACUGGGCAGGACCAACCCAAAGGCUGUGGCGGGCAGGGCACACAGAGGAGCAGUGGAUGCUGAGACCAGCAGGAAGGUCCUUCUCAGCAACUGCCUGGUGGCCGUGGCCGGGGUGCUCACGGUGCUCUUCCUCUGCCUGGUGGUCCCUGCCUGGGCAAAGGACAUCCAGGGGUGAGUGAGGGGU